RNAcentral lists this ribosomal RNA (406 nucleotides) under uncultured bacterium. Its description in RNAcentral is "partial 16S ribosomal RNA". It matches the Rfam family "Bacterial small subunit ribosomal RNA", at positions 29 to 526 of the family's 1533-position model. The record is from RNAcentral.
AUUGAACGCUGGCGGCAGGCCUAACACAUGCAAGUCGAACGAGUGGCGGACGGGUGAGUAAUGUCUGGGAAACUGCCUGAUGGAGGGGGAUAACUACUGGAAACGGUAGCUAAUACCGCAUACCAUCAGAUGUGCCCAGAUGGGAUUAGCUAGUUGGUGGGGUAACGGCUCACCAGGGCAACGAUCCCUCGCUGGUUGGAGAGGAUGACCAGCAAAACUGGAACGUAGACACGGCCCAGAAUCCAACGGAAGGCAGAAGUGGGGAAUAUUGCACAAGGGGCGCAAGCCGGAUGCAGCAAUGCCGCGUGUAGGAAGAAGGCCUUCGGGUUGUAAAGUACUUUCAGCGGGGAGGCGUUACCCGCAGAAGAAGCACCGGCUAACUCCGUGCCAGCCGCCGCGGUAAUAC